RNAcentral lists this ribosomal RNA (468 nucleotides) under uncultured bacterium. RNAcentral's name for it is "partial 16S ribosomal RNA". It matches the Rfam family "Bacterial small subunit ribosomal RNA", at positions 28 to 507 of the family's 1533-position model. The record is from RNAcentral.
GACGAACGCUGGCGGCGUGCUUAACACAUGCAAGUCGAACGGAAAGACCCUGCUUUUGUGGGGUGCUCGAGUGGCGAACGGGUGAGUAACACGUGAGUAACCUGCCCUUGACUUUGGGAUAACUUCAGGAAACUGGGGCUAAUACCGGAUAGGAGCUCCUGCUGCAUGGUGGGGGUUGGAAAGUUUCGGCGGUUGGGGAUGGACUCGCGGCUUAUCAGCUUGUUGGUGGGGUAGUGGCUUACCAAGGCUUUGACGGGUAGCCGGCCUGAGAGGGUGACCGGCCACAUUGGGACUGCGAGACGGCCCAGACUCCUACGGGAGGCAGCAGUGGAGAAUAUUGCACAAUGGGCGGAAGCCUGAUGCAGCAACGCCGCGUGCGGGAUGACGGCCUUCGGGUUGUAAACCGCUUUCGCCUGUGACGAAGCGUGAGUGACGGUAAUGGGUAAAGAAGCACCGGCUAACUACGUG